RNAcentral lists this ribosomal RNA (416 nucleotides) under uncultured microorganism. RNAcentral describes it as "bacterial SSU rRNA". It matches the Rfam family "Bacterial small subunit ribosomal RNA", at positions 346 to 751 of the family's 1533-position model. The record is from RNAcentral.
GCGCACCAGUCGCGAAUAGUCUACAAUGGACGAAAGUCUGAUAGUGCGACGCCGUGUGUGCGAUUAAUUCCUUCGGGAUGUAAAGCACUUUUCUAUGAGAUAACAGCUCUUUAGGUUAAUAGCUUAUUGAGACGGAUAUUAUUAUAGGAAUAAGCUCCGGCUAACUCCGUGCCAGCAGCCGCGGUAAUACGGAAGGAGCGAGCGUUGUCCGGAUUUACUAGGCGUAAAGGGCUAGUAGGCGACUAAUUAAGUUAUAUGUUAAAUCCCACGGCUCAACUGUAGUCCUGCAUGUAAUACUGGUUAGAUAGAGUACUGUAGAGGAAGGCAGAAUUCCUGGAGUAGCGGUGGAAUGCGCAGAUAUCAGGAAGAAUAACCAAAAGCGAAGGCAGCCUUCUGGGCAGUUACUGACGCUGAAU